RNAcentral lists this transfer RNA (85 nucleotides) under Felis catus (domestic cat). It matches the Rfam family "tRNA". Rfam says of the family: Transfer RNA (tRNA) molecules are approximately 80 nucleotides in length. The record is from Rfam by way of RNAcentral. Lineage: Eukaryota; Metazoa; Chordata; Mammalia; Carnivora; Felidae.
GCCUGGGAGGCUUAGUCGGUUAAGCGUCUGACUUCGGCUCAGGUCAUGAUCUCGCAGUUCGUGAGUUCAAGCCCCGCGUCAGGCU